RNAcentral lists this ribosomal RNA (492 nucleotides) under uncultured bacterium. RNAcentral's name for it is "partial 16S ribosomal RNA". It matches the Rfam family "Bacterial small subunit ribosomal RNA", at positions 29 to 507 of the family's 1533-position model. The record is from RNAcentral.
AGUGAACGCUGGCGGUAGGCCUAACACAUGCAAGUCGAACGGCAGCACAGUAAGAGCUUGCUCUUACGGGUGGCGAGUGGCGGACGUGUGAGGAAUACAUCGGAAUCUACUUUUUCGUGGGGGAUAACGUAGGUAAACUUACGCUAAUACCGCAUACGACCUACGGUUGAAAGCAGUGGAUCUUCGGACCUUGCGCGAUUGAAUGAGCCGAUGUCGGAUUAGCUAGUUGGCGGGGUAAAGGCCCACCAAGGCGACGAUCCGUAGCUGGUCUGAGAGGAUGAUCAGCCACACUGGAACUGAGACACGGUCCAGACUCCUACGGGAGACAGCAGUGGGGAAUAUUGGACAAUGGGCGCAAGCCUGAUCCAGCCAUACCGCGUGGGUGAAGAAGGCCUUCGGGUUGUAAAGCCCUUUUGUUGGGAAAGAAAAGCAGCAGGUUAAUACCCCGCUGUUCUGACGGUACCCAAAGAAUAAGCACCGGCUAACUUCGUG